RNAcentral lists this ribosomal RNA (253 nucleotides) under uncultured bacterium. Its description in RNAcentral is "partial 16S ribosomal RNA". It matches the Rfam family "Bacterial small subunit ribosomal RNA", at positions 524 to 776 of the family's 1533-position model. The record is from RNAcentral.
UACGGAGGGUGCGAGCGUUGUCCGGAAUCAUUGGGCGUAAAGGGCGCGUAGGUGGCGCGGUUAGCGUGCGGUGAAAGCUCGGGGCUCAACCCCGAGUCGGCCGUGCGAACUGCCGCGCUGGAGCACUGUAGAGGCAGGCGGAAUUCCGGGUGUAGCGGUGGAAUGCGUAGAGAUCCGGAAGAACACCGGUGGCGAAGGCGGCCUGCUGGGCAGUGGCUGACACUGAGGCGCGACAGCGUGGGGAGCAAACAGG